ACCCAAUAGAUACCCCGGUAGUCCACGCCCUAAACGAUGAUGACUAGUUGUUGGGGAGUUAAAUCCCUUAGUAAACGCAGCUAAACGCGUGAAAGUCAUCCGCCUGGGGAGUACGGUCGCAAGAUUAAACUCAAAGGAAUUGACGGGGGCCCGCACAAGCGGUGGAUGAUGUGGUUUAAUUCGACGCAACGCGAAAAACCUUACCUACCCUUGACAUGUGCGGAAUCCUGCAGAGAUGCAGGAGUGCCCGAAAGGGAACCGCAACACAGGUGCUGCAUGGCUGUCGUCAGCUCGUGUCGUGAGAUGUUGGGUUAAGUCCCGCAACGAGCGCAACCCUUGCCAUUAGUUGCUACAUUCAGUUGGGCACUCUGAAGGAACUGCCGGUGACAAGCCGGAGGAAGGUGGGGAUGACGUCAAGUCCUCAUGGCCCUUACGGCCUGGGCUACACACGUGCUACAAUGGCGGUGACAGUGGGCAGCGACCCCGCGAGGUGAGCUAAUCCAUAAAAGCCGUCUCAGUUCGGAUUGCACUCU
Molecule: ribosomal RNA, 533 nt
Filed under: uncultured bacterium
Lineage: Bacteria
Description: bacterial SSU rRNA
Rfam family: Bacterial small subunit ribosomal RNA
Source: RNAcentral